CGCUGGCGCCGCCGGUGGGAGUUAGAAACUCUGCACAUGGGGAUUGCUGUCUGUCCUGGUCCUUGCUGUAGCCCCAGUGCCUAGAGCAGUGCCAAGCACACAUGAGGUGCUCCACAAACAUGUGCCACCAAAAAAGAUCCUGAGAUGCAGGAGUCAGGAGGCCGGAGUCUUCCCUGCUCUGCAGUCAGGAGUUAUGUCACCGUCACUGCCGUGCAACGGAGCCUCUCGAGUGAGGGAGGGACCCUGGCAAUUUUCUGGCUCACAGCUCAUUCCAGAGCUGCCUGGUGACACAGACGGGCCCGCAGGCCUGGGAAGGCCCUGUUCCAGCAGAUGCAGCCCGGGACUCCCGCUCUGGAGCCCAGCAGGGCUUCUCCGCCCCCAAGACUGGAGGGGCUUCCCGGCUGAGCCCCAGGAUGUCAUCUGGGGGCUGGGUUCCCACCCCCUCCCCAGCCGCAGCCCCUCAUAUGUGCGUGGCACUCCCCCGUUACAGUUUACAAAGUGCGUUCACAGACAUUAUCACAUCGGCUCCUAAACGCCCCCUAAAAACCACAAUAAAUCUCUCGCUCUGGCUCCCGA
RNAcentral lists this long non-coding RNA (576 nucleotides) under Equus asinus (donkey). Its description in RNAcentral is "lncRNA (ENSEASG00005023871.1)". The record is from RNAcentral. Lineage: Eukaryota; Metazoa; Chordata; Mammalia; Perissodactyla; Equidae.